Xyrichtys novacula (pearly razorfish) is the source of this 1370-nucleotide non-coding RNA. Lineage: Eukaryota; Metazoa; Chordata; Actinopteri; Labriformes; Labridae. The record is from the annotation of a GenBank genome assembly.
AUGCACAGCGUCUCUGCGAAUCACGUCUUCAUUUUUGUUUGUCGAAGGCAAACGUUCGGGGUGAGUGCUCUGAAUCUGCUCCACUGCAAAGCUGCAAAAUCUUACUUAUGAUUAAUCUCUGUAGAAGGCUCCAUCCUGAUUGGUCAGAAACUAAGUGACCAUAUUCUGAAUCUACAAAAAGAGGACGAUACUAUACGGGGUGGAAUCGUGCACAAAAAAAGUGUUUUUUCACGCUUCAAUUUCCACAGCAUCCAGAAUGGCUACUAAAAGGCCAAUCAUAGCUGAUCGUAACCAUUCAAGUUAACGUGUCAAUUUCCACCGACUUCUUUCCGUUCCUCUGCGGAUCGCCGGACUCCUCAGCUGAUCACAAGAGUUCUAUUUUUUCUGGACGCCAGAGCAUGGCGGAUAAAUUCAGCACAGAUUAACCCGUGCUGGAAAGGAAGUCGGGGAAAGACCCUAUUUUAUUUUAACGCGAGUUAAGACACAGAGGCACCGAUCGAGGGGGGGUAGUUGAAAACGCUUUUCUGGUCUGAGUUUGAUCAGUCGGUCUUCCUGUAAAGAGCAGUAGCCUACAGUAUAUAGUAUAUUGUUGAUUCCUACAGUAUAUAUAUAUUUUUGUAACUUUAUAAAAGAUUUAAAAAAUCGUCCGAUCAAUCGGUAGUCAGAUUUCCCCCCAAACAAUCGGUAUUGGCCCCAAGAAGUCCAUACUGGUCGGGCCCUACAUGUUAUCGCGCAAUAGCACGUGAAACCGCGGGUUCUUGUGAGUUCUUGUAAUAGCCGCUGUCCAUAAUCUGCCACGAAAUUCGCCUCACAAACAGAUCCAGUAGGAAUUGGCGGAGGCGAAAAUCUGCGCCGUUCUGGAUGCAGUGGAAAUUGUGGGUAACUCAGUUAGUCCACGCUACACAAACUCAAAACCUCCAUGAAAAAUCCUGGACAUUUGAAGGAUUUUGUUAACUCCCCCCGACAGGCCGGACAUAAAGAGGACAUGUCCGGGUUGAAGAGGACGUAUGGACACCUGAUCAAAAACCAAAAAUAUCCGGGUUGAUUGAGGUUUUUCUCCGAACCCUAAACCAGUCAUUCCUGACUUCCCUCCCUGUGUAGUUUGGAGCUGGAUGUUACCCCGACAGAGACUCUAUAAUCCCUCAAAACUAAUGCUGCCCUUUCACUCCUUCUCCAGGGAGACGUUUCCUGCCGGUGUGACUUCACUCUUCUCCCGGCUCCUGAUUUCUUCAGUCCAGGGAGUCGGCAGAGGUGUGACAGGCCUGCCCUUCUCCUGCUCAUAACCCAUCAGCUGAAUAAUUACAGCUAACCUGCUUCUCCACAGGGCUUUGCUGCUAUAAACGACCCCGCUGUCACGCGCUAAUGGAAAA